GGGGCUUGGAACCCUCAUGGCAGCCUGGGGGUGAAGGGAUGGAGCUGGGGUGGGCGUGGAGCCCAGGGCUCCCAGCAAGUGAGAUGGGGACAGGUCAUUGCAGGAGCACACGUGUCUCUGGGCACAGUUCUGUGGGCACUGACCCACAUUUCUGCUUCAGUGGAAAUGCAUUAGCCCAGGAGCAAACAGUGAAGGAAGAAAUGGAGCAAAAUAUGUUUCUGCACUUGCAAUAUAUAGGGCUGUUGCUCAAGAAUCUGUGGUUUGUGAACAUCAUUUAAUGUAAUGGGAGAUGAGGUUCAAGUCCUAGGACAAGCAAACCAUGAAUAAUGUCCUACUGCCCUACCACGAUGCUUCCUUUGCAUUAACAAAUAUCAGGUAGGGGUCAGAGUAUUUAUGCCCACGUCAGCUGUGCAGUUACAAGGACAGGCAGGAGGCACAGAAACGGGGCUGCCCAUAGCUGCAGCACGGCGGAGCCCGACAGCCCAUCGCACUAUAAAUAGUGCAGGACAGGAAUAGGAGAGAGCUGCCAGACCUGGCUAAUCGGGAUGAGGGGCAGCCACCUGACACCCGGCCUCCGAGGGACUUAAAGCCACAGCCGUGUGCUGCAGAGCAGGGCUUCCCCAGCACCUUCAUCCUGAACGGAAGCGCUUCACUACGGUGUAGGACCAAACACCUGGAAAUGAGUUCUUAUCCAUCUUCAAUUCUCAGCUCUGGGAAGGAGAAGAGACCCAAGCAGGCAAAAUGUGCAGUGACUGGGAGUUCAGAGCCUUGUCUUCCUCCUUACGGCUUCAGAUUUGGGCCCAGCUGAAACAGCUCCCCUAUACCCCAUCCUAUUUAGGCUUUCCCCCAGAAAAGCCAUCCCCAAAUGAUUUGGGGUCACUCAAGGAAAUGGAGACCUCCCCCAAAGGCCAUUCAAAGGUGCUGUGAUGGCGACUGGCAGGAUCCCGUACCCCUUUUGUUAUCACCUCCACUCCUUCCAGCCCCUCAGCCCCCGUGUUAGGAUCUGAUGCCUUAAACUAUACAAAAAUCCCCAUUUGCCCAGAUGUAAUAACUGAGAUUUUAUUUUUUUUUUUCCCAGGAGGCCCUGCAUAGUGCAAGAGUGAAUAAUCUGCAGUGCUGGUAAUUUGUAUGUAUCUGGGAUGCUGACACCCCAGGCUGCCUGCCUGAAUUUGCCUUGGUACUGAGGGGGUUUCCUUCCCAUGAGUAACGUGUUCAGCUCACCGAGCUCUCACAGUUCUCCCUGUGCAGUGCAUCAGGUCCCCUCUGAAGGAGGGGGUCUGGGUGGUGCCGACAGCACCCCACCAGGGAUGCUCACCCCCAUGUCACCCCAGACACCCUGCUGUCACAGGGGCUGGCCACAGGAUCAGCAGAGGGGUCACUGUUUUCCUCCUUCACUCCAUGCAAAGCAAUACUUGCCUUGAAAAGAAGAAAUAUGUGGCCUCAUCAGCAUUGGAGGGGCAGCUGAGAGCAUAGGGGAAGCAGCUGAGCUCCAGUGGACACUUUUGUGGCAGGGGAGGAUGCUGUUAGGGUUCCCUCCUCCUAUGGUCAGGGCUUCAGCUCCUUGCAACACAGCAAUACACACACGGAGUCAAAUUCUCACUUUAGUAAAACCCCCAGCUGUGAUGGAUGGGAUUCCCUCCCGCAUCUCCCGGUGGUUCUGCUCAUGCUGCAGAUCCAGAGAGGAGCAAUGAAGACAGCACUGCGGGACAGAAAGGCAGGGAGGAAGGGAGAGUAUUCUGAGGUCCUGCAGUCAGCACAUGAUGCUGAUAACUUUAAAUUGGAGGCAGUGGUUUAAAAAUAACUUCUGGCAGUAACAGCAAAAUGCCCAAGCCCUCUCGCCACCCUGGCAGCUGGGGCUGGUGUCUGGUGUCACCCUGAUGGGACAGCAGUGUGCCACGUGGCUGUGCUGGGCUCACACAGGGACUCAACAGCACUGGGACGAGCAACCCAGAGCUUCCUUCAGGUCAUCAUAACCACCAAGCUCCUGGGUACCGUGGUGAUCUGAGGCAGCAGUGCUGAAGGGUCAUGGCUUAAAGGCCUUUAAAAGUAUCCUCAGGGCCAUCUGGGGUACGGGUGGUGGCACAGGGGGGCGCUCCUCAAGAAACCCCUUCUGCACAAAACAGACAAGUGAUAGGGUUGAAACAGGGAAAUCACCCCUGCAGCAUCCCACGCCGUGGCUGGGUGCUUGUGGGUGUCCAAAAUUCAGGGGAAGAGGGGCUGGAAACAUCCUGGACACCCCCAGCUGGAUUAGUUGACCUGGCCAACAGCAGCUUCAGCUGCACAUCCCGUUGCAAAGGUAAAGCAGCUUGUGGGCUCUCAGCCAGAAUUCAGCCUUGGAGGGAAAACCAUCACCAAAUGCCCGAUUUCCUGCUCGCUGAGCUGAGCAGCACCCAUGGGUCACAGCGCACAUCCCCAGGUCCAUUGCAGCAGCUCCUCCCCUAAACCUGGGUUUCUUCUGAAGAUUUUUAACUCCUUCACUGCUCUUCACCUUCCCCACAAUCACUUCAGCACUGCAGCUGAAAUACAGCUCCUUCUGCUCUCUGAGAUGCUGCUGCGUUUUGGCGGCUGGGCACAACUCCGAGUUUGGAAAAGCCUGCAUUCAUCCUGAGGACAGCUCUCAUUGAACCACGGAGCAAAACCAGAGCCCACCUCCUGCUCACCUCCUAUGAAGGGCUGCUGGUGGUGCCUGGCUGACAGCAGGAACACUGGCUGCAUCCAGAGGGAGAAACGAGGACCUCAGUGAGCGCAUUCAGUGCUGUCCCAGCCUCUCUCGAAGCCCCUCUUCUAUUUAGCAAUGGAUUUGUUUCACACUCACUGAAUGAUAGCAAAAUUUUCCCUCGAUCCCAUGAAGGAGAUGCUGCUCCGGCAGUUGCCUGUGUCCCGCUGAGCACUGUGCUGGUUUCUGCCAAGAAGUUAUCCCGUUUUCCCAGGCUUUGCUGAUCAUACACCAGCGUGGGGCAAUUCCCUUCAUGCGUUUUGCUCUGUACCGACAAUUGGGAACGCAAGAGGCAAAACAAAAGCCGGGAGCAGCCCGGCAAUCCCAGCACAUCCUCACGUUAACACUGCGACCCAAACCCGAGUGGGCAGAAGGCGGAUCCGUCCCGGUAGGUGGCAGCAGCUGCCCACGCCGGUCUGGAGCUGCGCGAUGCUGAAGAUGGGGAAAAACGGGAGGAGGGGGAGCGCUCCCCAACUGGUGCCUGGUGAGAGGUCCCCAUAAAGGCCCGGCUGGAACACGGAGCCCUGAGAGCCAGGUGGAUAAAAAAGGAGAAAGGCAAGCAGAGAAUUUACUCCAAAGCAAAACGCAUGGAGAGCCACGGUUACUUGGAGACUGUAAUUAGAGGGAAAGAAAUCGAAGGGAAAAAAGGAAAUCUAUCCAAAUCUUGUUGUCCGCUUGCUUUUAAAGCGAUUGAUUCUUGAUUGAUACAAACGAAGUUUGGCUUACUCUCUUCCAUAUGCAUAGCACAGGCUUUGUGUUGGGAAAUCAGCCCGGAUUCUCACCCCACCGCCCUCCAUCCCCCCUGCCCAGCAUCAUCCCAGAGCUCCCUCAUCACCACCUGCAGAGCCCGCUUUGGUCCCAUGCACCCUCC
This is a long non-coding RNA of Gallus gallus (chicken), 3587 nucleotides long. The record is from Ensembl. NCBI's taxonomy places the organism in Eukaryota, Metazoa, Chordata, Aves, Galliformes, Phasianidae.